CCUACGGGAGGCAGCAGUGAGGAAUAUUGGUCAAUGGACGAGAGCCUGAACCAGCCACGCAGCGUGAACGAUGACUGCCCUCUGGGUUGUAAACUUUUUUUAUAUGGGAAUAAAAUGUUCCAUGCGUGGGAUUUCGUAUGUACCAUAUGAAUAAGGAUCGGCUAACUCCGUGCCAGCAGCCGCGGGAAUACGGAGGUUUCGAGCGUUAGCCGGAUUUACUGGGGUUAAAGGGAGCGUAGGUGGAUUGUUAAGUCAGUUGUGAAAGUUUGCGGCUCAACCGUAACAUUGCAGUUGAAACUGGCAGGCUGGAGUACAGUAGAGGUAGGCGGAAUUCGUGGUGUAGCGGUGAAAUGCGUAGAUAUCACGAAGAACUCCGAUUGCGAAGGCAGCUCACUGGACUGCAACUGACGCUGAGGCUCGAAAGUGUGGGUAUCAAACAGGAUUAGAUACCCCGGUAGUC
This 460-nucleotide ribosomal RNA is filed under the name uncultured bacterium. RNAcentral describes it as "partial 16S ribosomal RNA". It matches the Rfam family "Bacterial small subunit ribosomal RNA", at positions 338 to 795 of the family's 1533-position model. The record is from RNAcentral.